RNAcentral lists this unclassified non-coding RNA (1340 nucleotides) under Hevea brasiliensis (rubber tree). Lineage: Eukaryota; Viridiplantae; Streptophyta; Magnoliopsida; Malpighiales; Euphorbiaceae. The record is from RNAcentral.
AACAAAUUUGCCAUCAAAAUCCGGAUAUAAGCUGUCGAGGUUAAAAUUAUUUAUCUCAGAAAAGAUUUCGUUGAAUUUAAAUUAUCUGAACAUUGUACAUACUACAACAAGAAAUCUAUAAACUCGAGAUUUAAAAAAUCCUCUGUGAGCUUACUAUUCUACAAUAAUCAUUUUGAUUGGUAUUUAUUUUAAAGAAGGGAAAGUGUGUGGGUGAACAGCUGAAGCUUUCUCGACUGCACUUGGUCAUAGUGAUUUCUGGGAUACUGGAUCUGAUGUAGAGAGCUCAUUAUACAUGUCAGAUAUUGCUUUGGCGAAAUAAGCCUUCGCCUGAGGCCUCUUGACCUUGAACGUGGGUGUGAGAAGGCCAUUUUCGAUUGUGAAAGGCUCAACAACCAAUGUUACAGCUUUUGCAAAUUCGAAACCUCUCAACUGAGCUUCCCUUCCAACUGCAUCCAUCUCAGCAAGAACAGCAGCCCUUGCUCUUGGAUCAUUGCAUAGUUGUCCCAAAUCUUCAUACUUGAUUCCCUCAGAUGAUGCCCAUUCCUUCAAGACAUCUGGCUCUACACAAACUAUUGCUACUAAAGAGGAAUUAAAGCUAUCACCAUAGACGAAGCAUUGUGCAAUAAAUUUGCAUUUAGCAUAAACAUUCUCAAUUUUCUCAGGAGCUAUGUAUUCACCCUGUGCCAACUUGAAGAUAUUCUUCUUCCUGUCAAUAAUCUUCAAGCGGCCUCCAGGUAACCAUAAUCCAAUAUCACCAGUAUGCAGCCAACCGUCAUCAUCAACUACCUCCUUCGUCUGCACUUCAUCUUUGUAAUAGCCUUGAAAAACAAUAGGACCUCUAACACAAAUCUCUCCACGAGGAUGAGGCUGAUCCUCUGAUGUGUAACUCAUUUCGGGGACAUCCACAAGCUUUAUCUCACAUGCUGUAUUUGGAGAACCAACAUGACCAAUUAAGUUAUCAGUCUCGUCCAUUGAGCUUAUGACACAUGAAGUCUCAGUCAUGCCAUACCCUUCCAUUACUUGACAGCCAAAACAUACUCUCAAGAACUCCAACACAUCAGGGGACAAUGGUGAGGCACCUGAGGUCAUAAGACGAACUCGUCCGCCCAGUUUGUCCUUUAUUUUGUUGAACACCAACCUAUCCCACAUUGGUGAUGGCUUUCUACCGUUCAUCACAGCUUGCUUCUUGGAGUUGUAGGCAGCAUUAAAUAGUCUCUGCUUCAGUACACCAGAAGUUUGUACGGCAUUUGUGAUCCCAGCAUAUAUCCUGUUGAAGAGACGAGGAACACUGCUAAAUAUUGUAGGUCUAAGUGUCACCAAAUCAUCCAUCAAUUUCAGAU